GAGUUUGAUCCUGGCUCAGAUUGAACGCUGGCGGCAUGCCUUACACAUGCAAGUCGAACGGUAACAGGUCUUCGGAUGCUGACGAGUGGCGAACGGGUGAGUAAUACGUCGGAACGUGCCCGAUCGUGGGGGAUAACGAAGCGAAAGCUUUGCUAAUACCGCAUACGAUCUACGGAUGAAAGCAGGGGACCGCAAGGCCUUGCGCGAACGGAGCGGCCGAUGGCAGAUUAGGUAGUUGGUGGGAUAAAAGCUUACCAAGCCGACGAUCUGUAGCUGGUCUGAGAGGACGACCAGCCACACUGGGACUGAGGCACGGCCCAGACUCCUACGGGAGGCAGCAGUGGGGAAUUUUGGACAAUGGGCGAAAGCCUGAUCCAGCCAUGCCGCGUGCAGGAUGAAGGCCUU
RNAcentral lists this ribosomal RNA (405 nucleotides) under uncultured microorganism. Its description in RNAcentral is "bacterial SSU rRNA". It matches the Rfam family "Bacterial small subunit ribosomal RNA", at positions 9 to 418 of the family's 1533-position model. The record is from RNAcentral.